CGGGGCGGCGUACGUCAUCAAAGAGCGCCGGAGAGGAACCGCGGCGUGGGGCAGCUAUGGCGCUGUUCCACAUAGCGCGGUACGCGGGCCCAGAGGCCGCGGGGCAGGGGGAUACGGACGCAGAGGCGGGCAGCCGGGCUCGAGUGCUGCUCGAGCGGCUGCAGAACAGAGCCCGUGAGCGACAGCAGCGGGAGCCGGAGCUCGAGACCACAGGAACGGCCGGGGAAGGGGAAGCGGCAGCAGCAGGCAAGCGGCGACGGCGGCCCCGACGGCGGCGUCGGGUGAGCGGCUCGGCGACUCCGAACUCGGAGGCUCCUAGGGCGAAGCGGCGGAAAGCGGACAAGGACGUGGACGCAGGGAGAGGUGAGGAGGCUCCGGAGGAGCUCAGUGCCGGCGCAGAGGACCCGGGUGCGAACCCUCAGGAGGAUGUCCAGAGACCCCCGGCUCCAGGCCGGGUGCUGGGGGACUUUGCAAGAAGAAAGACGCCGAAGGUUCAGCCUUUCCUGCCAGCAUGGUUGGCUAAGCCAAGCUGUGUCAAAAAGAGUGUCACCGAAGAUCUCACUCCCAUUGAGGACAUCCCUGAGGUUCACCCUGACCUGCAGAAGCAGUUGAGAGCUAAUGGCAUCACUUCCUACUUUCCAGUCCAGGCAGCUGUGAUUCCCGCCCUCCUCGAAAGUGCUGACCAUGGGUUUCUCAUAGGCAGAGGUGGCUACCAACCUAGUGACCUCUGCGUCUCUGCCCCAACGGGCAGUGGGAAAACACUGGCCUUUGUCAUCCCCGUGGUACAGGCCCUGUUGCAUCGAGUGGUCUGCCACAUCCGUGCACUGGUUGUACUUCCCACUAAGGAGCUGGCCCAACAGGUGAGCAAAGUAUUCAACAUCUACACAGACACCACGCCUCUGAGGGUUGCCUUGGUGACUGGACAGAAGUCGCUGGCUAAGGAGCAGGAGAGUCUUGUCCAGAAGACAUGGUUUCCGUUGCCUGGCCGACAUUGUGGUGGCCACACCUGGCCGCUUGGUGGACCACAUUGACCAGACUCCAGGAUUCAGCCUCCAGCAGCUCCGCUUCCUGAUCAUUGAUGAGGCUGACCGGAUGAUAGACAGCAUGCACCAGUCCUGGCUGCCACGAGUGGUGGCGGCAGCCUUCUACAGUGAGGGCCCCACGGGUUCCUGUGCCCUGCUCCAGAGGACACAGCCCCAGGCUCUGACUGCUGCCAGCACCUGUGUCCCCCAGAUGCCUCUGCAGAAGCUACUGUUCUCAGCCACACUGACCCAGGACCCCGAGAAGCUGCAGCGCCUUGGCCUCUACCAGCCACGGCUUUUCUCCACAAGGCUGGGACAACAAAGUCCUAAAGACACAGCUGAGGUGGAUGAAAACUCGGGGAAGUACACCUUCCCCGUGGGGCUCACGCAUCACUAUGUGCCGUGUAGACUCAGCUCGAAGCCACUCAUUGUCUUACACCUGGUCCUCAGGAUGAGCUGCUCAAGGGCUCUUUGCUUCACCAACUCCCGAGAAAACUCCCACAGGCUGUACCUAUUAGCACAAGCUUUUGGGGGUGUGAGUGUGGCUGAAUUCUCCUCCCGCUAUGGGCCUGGCCAAAGGAAGAAAAUCUUGAAGCAGUUUGAACAAGGAAAGAUCCAGCUCCUUAUCAGCACAGAUGCUACUGCUCGAGGCAUUGAUGUGCAGGGUGUGGAGCUGGUGAUCAACUACGAUGCCCCACAAUAUCUGAGGACCUAUGUGCACAGGGUCGGGAGAACAGCUCGAGCCGGGAAAACUGGACAGGCAUUCACACUUCUCUUGAAAGUGCAGGAAAGGAAGUUCCUUCAGAUGGUGUCAGAAGCUGGGGUGCCUGAGCUGACACACCAUGAGAUCCCCAGGAAGCUCCUGCAGCCGCUGGUUGCUCGUUAUGAGACAGCCUUGUCUCAGUUGGAGAAAACUGUCAAGGAGGAGCAGAAACUGAAGGCAGCCUAGAUGAGAACAGGGCCCUGGAGGGAAGAUCGUGCGAACAGAAGAUAAGUUCCUUGGGGUUCCAGUGGAAACAACCCUUCUCCCCAGUGCCGUGGGCAUCUGGUCGUCUUGGUUGAUGCAGCCUAGAUGGUGGCCUCGUCCUGAAAAGUAAUGGCUCUCGGGUUGGACUGCUGGUGUCCAGUUGGUCUUGGGAAAUAAGCUCAGGUGAAGCUGAAGGAUGCCUUCUGGAGUGUGAGCAAACACUAUGGUGACUGGACUGUGGUGAUCAAAGUGCUUAUACGUUAGCGUCUCCUGUCUACAGAGAAGCUAUGGCGAGCCUGCCCCAGGCAAGUCACUGGAGCCCAAGAACAGGUUGGCAGCAGCCUUGAAGAUACUUCCUUGGCUACUAGUCUUCAAGAUUGUACUUUAUAAUUAGCCUCCCACCCAUUUAAGUUCUUAAAUGAUGUGAGAGUCCUUCCCUGAAUAUAUAUAGUCAAGGAGAAUUAGCGCUUACCUGUGCUUUUAAGAAGGCCUGUUUUUAAAAAGUCAGUGUAUCAAAAAAGAUAAACAUUUUCAUUUGUAUUCAGAAAAAAAUAAAUGGAUCACUUGAACCUAUACAAAUUCCCGAUAGCUCCAACACAGCCACUUAACUACUCCUCUAACCCAGAACACCUAGGCACAGGCUACGGGUACUAUCUUCAGGCCCUUGGAACUUGGAUAAGGGGAAGCUUCCCACAGCUUUAACCAGGCCUCCCUCCCUUUUAAAUUUCACAUAUAUGAGUGUUUACCUGCAUGUAUGUCUGUAUAGCAUAUAUGCCUAGUGCCCAAGGAAGCCAGAAGUGUUUGUUGGAUCCCCUAGAACUGGAACUACAGGCAGUUGUAAGCUGGAUCCUCUACAAGAGCUUUAAUUACUGAGCCAUCUCUGUGUCCCUGUCCAAGUCCUUUUUAAAUCUGAAGCUACCACAGCCCUGGCUUCCCUUACUGGUGCCUUGUUCCAGUUGCCUUGGUUUUGCCUCUUCUGUGACCUUUCAGAACAUGCAUUGCCCUAGACCCAAGCUAGCAUCACUUUCUUUCUCACAGGAUCAGACCCUUCCCCUACACCCAGAGAUCUCCCAAACACUGUCUGCCAAGAUUAGGUUAGUAAGAUCAUGUGCUGGCUUUCUAUCUGAAUUGGUGAUACUAAAAGGGAUAGAUGCUAGGAUAGCUGACUGGGUGUUCACAGUGUUAGAACAAGCUUAAUAACUUGUAAUUAGACCAAACCGAUAUAUAAAGUGCAUGAGGAUUGCAGUUAUGAGGUUUGGUUCAUGUGUGUUGGGCCCAGGAAAUGUUUUUCCAAAGCUUGUUUUAAGGAAAUGCCUGUUUUCUAACAAAAUCUUAGGUAGAGCCUAAUAGUAGGAAUAAAGUAGGCAAAGCCAUUGUGGGAGGUUCAAGACUGACAACAGCAUCAGGCAUUUUGCAGAAGAGGUUAAAACUGGGGGAAUAGUUUCCACAGAAGCACCGAAACAAACGUGGGCUCAUGUCAACAUUAACCCUGCCAGGUAGAAGCCACUGAAGCUACCCCACAGGAGGACACAAGACAGUGAAACAUUUGGAGUAACUCACUCAUCACACUAUAGGGCCUGUUUGUUUCCCAGGCCUGUAGUGGUUACCUUACAGCUUUCUCUGCCCUGGACCAUAGCUCUGUGGAAUUUGCAUCUGACCCUAGCCUCUUGCUGUGUGGGAGGUUGCUCACUGGGGAGUAGUACCCAAAACUGAGAGAGUCAAAGUAGCCGGUGUCAUUCUGAUUCUUUUUUUUUUUUAAUGUUUAUUUUGUUUGCAUGUUUAUUUGUGUACCAUGUGUUUGCAGUCCAUUAUGGAAACCAGAAGAGGGGGACUGAGUUACAGUCAAUUAUGAUCUACCAUUUAGGUGCUGGGAAUUGAACCUGGGUCCUUUGGAAAAGCAGCCAGUGUUCUUAACUGUUGAGCCAUCUCUCCAGCCCAUCAUUGUGUCCCUUAAAUCACAGCCUUUAUGGGUAAAUACUGAUCUCUCACAGGGUAGUCACAGUUGAUUUUUGAAAACAGCUGGUUUUUUUAAAAAAAUGUUUGUUUACUGAGCAGGGUUCUCUGCAUAGCCUGGCUGUUCUGGAACUUGCUCUGUAGACCAGCAGCCUUGAACUCUCCUGCCUCUGCCUCUUGAAUGCUGAGAUUAAAGGCCUGUGCCACCUUCACUCCUAGCCAGAUACAGAUGGUUUUAAUGUGAGUUAUUAGAGCUAGGAUUUUCACAGACCAAAACUGAAAGAUCUUGCUGAUGAGAAGUCUGGUCUGAAGGUCAGACUUCCUUUUGAGUAAUCAACAUUGUGUUACUAAUGCUUUCAGCAUUUCAUACAGUGAAAUUUGAUCAUAUUCACACACACACCCUUUUCUCCCAUAUCCAUCCUUACUCUCACCUCCCCACCCAUCUAGCCCCAAGGUUUUCUGUUGUUGUUUAAACCCAUUGAAUUGAUUUGUAUUAUGGAGUGUGGUUCCUGCCCUGCAAUGUGGUCAGCCUACUAGGGGUCACACUACCAAAGAAAACUGAGUCCCUCUUUCAGUAGCAGUAAUAACAGUAGUUCCUCAGCUUAUACAGGUCUUGUGCAUGCCAUCACAGUCUCUGUGAGUUCAUAUGCCUUACUGCUCUAUUGUGUCUUGAAAGCAUUUUCCCUUGAAGUUAUGUACUGCCUCUGGCUCUUAAAUUUUUUUGUACCCUCUUCCUUAAAGAUCCCUGAGCUUGGACAGAGAGGUGUGAAAUGUUCCACUUAGAGGUCAACACUCCACACACACACUCUCACUCUGGACUUGUUGAGCAGCUGUCAUCUGAAAGCUUUUCUGAUGAAAGUUGGCAGUACACCUACCUAUGGGGAUAGCAGUGUCAUUAAAAGUCAUUUUUUACCCUGUGCUCAUUUUACCCUGUGCUCAAGCCUGUGACUUAUACAGCCACAGAUUCUUGGCUCCAUUAACAGCACCUACUAUUUCAUGGAGUAAGCCUGAGAUUUAAUCAGAAAGUGGUUGAGCAACUAGGGAAGGCUCAGCAGUUAAGAGCAUUUACUUGAAUAGGGUUUGGUUUGGUUCCUAGAACCCACAUGGUUUACAACUGUCUACAACUCCAGUUCCAGAGGCUCUAAUAUCCUCUAAGGGCACCAAAGGGCACCAGUUGUACAUGGAUAUGUUGAAGAAAAAAAUUAUAAUUUUCAAGGAAACGGUUGGUGCCUGGCUUGGUGGCCCACACCUUUAAUCCCAGCACUUGGGGGCAGAGAACGGUGAAUCUCUGAGUUCAGGCCAACCUGGUCUACAGAAUGAGUUACAGGACAAUCAGGGCUACAUAAAACAUAUCUACAGAAGGUCUUUUAAAAGGCCUUUAAUCACAGAAGAGCACAUCAGAUGCCAUUACAGAUGGUUGUGAGCCACUAUGUGGUUGCUGGGAGUUGAACUCAGGACCUCUGGAAGAGCAGUCAGUGCUCUUAACUGCUGAGCUGUAUUCAGCCCCAGCCAUAUCUAAUCACUUGAAUGAUGUUUUGUUGUUGUUGUUGUUUUGCUUUUUUUUUUUUUUUUUUCUCGAGACAGGGUUUCUCUGUAUAGCCCUGGCUGUCCUGGAACUCACUUUGUAGACCAGGCUGGCCUCGAAUUCAGAAAUCCUCCUGCCUCUGCCUCCCGAGUGCUGGAAUUAAAGGCAUGCGCCACUACGCCCGGCUCGAAUGAUGUUUUAAAACCGCUGAAAAUUCCAUUGUGUAAAGGUGCAUUUUUUUCAUCAGUUGAUGGGCUUCUAGGCUGUUUCCAUUUCCCGGUUAUUGUGAAUAGAGCAAUUAACAUGGAGAAGCAGCACCCUGGAGAAGUAGAUAAUAGAAGCUUGGGUAUAUGCCCAAGGAUGUAGCUGCAUCAUGGGGUAACUUUAUUCUCAACUUUUUGAGGAACUGCCAUGCUGACUUACAGUGGUUGUAUCAAUUUGUACUCAAACUGGUGAAGGAUGAUCCCCUUUCUCUACAGUCAUGCCAGGUUCUACUGUCUAUUUUUAAAAACCUUGUCCAUUCUGAGUGGUGUAAGAUAUUUGAAGUCUCAAAGUUGUUUCCCAUUUCCCUGAUGGCUCAGGGUGGUCAACAUGUUUUUCAGACAUUUCAUUAAAAAAAAUAUUUUUGAGGUAGGUUUUGUCUUGUUUUCUUUUUUGGAUAUAGGGUUCUCUCAUUGGCAGUUCUGGAGUCCUCUGUGUAGACCCAGCAGACCAUGACCUCACAGAGAUCUACCUGCCUCUGCCCACCAAGAGCUGGGAUUAAGGGCUAGAGCCAUCAUGUCCUGCCCAGCCCAGCUUACUUAUGUGUCUGAGUCUUCUGUCUGCUCUUAACAGCUGAGCUAUCUCUCCAGCCCACUGUAUGUCUUGAGAAGUUUUAGUUCCUUGCUGUAUUUUUGUUUUUCGAGACAGGGUUUCUCUGUGUGGCCCUGGCUGUCCUGGAACUCACUCUGUAGACCAGGCUGGCCUCGAACUCAGAAGUCCUCCUGUCUCUGACUCCCAAGUGCUGGGAUUAAAGGCGUGUGCCACCACUGCCCAGCCUUUGCUGUAUUUUAAAGAUUGGCUUAUUUCCUUGCUUGUUUUUUAGGUUUAGGGUUUUUUGUUUUGUUUUGAUUUUUAAAAGACUUUUAAUGCUUAUGUGUGUGGUAUGUGAGCAUAGGUUCUCUCUAAUGGCUGUGUGUUCUAACUGCUGUUAGCUCCCCAGUCCAUGUUUUGAGAGUUUUUUUUAGUUCUUUGUGUCUUCUAGACACUAAUUCUCUACCAGAUGUGUAGCUGGUAAAGACCUUUUCUCCUUCUGUAGUUGUUUCUUCACAUGAAUGAUACUGUCCCUUUGUUGUACAGAAACCUUAAGUUUUAUGAGGUCCCAUGGUUUUACUGCCUGCACUACUGGGGUUCUGUCCAGAAAGUCCUUCUGUGUGCUUUUAAGUUUAUUCUGCCCCACCCCCGACCUCUAUCAGAUUCAGGGUAUCAUGCCUUACACUGAGGUCCUUUGAUCCAUUUGGAGUUGAGGUCUGGCAGGGUGAGAGAUAAGAUUCCAGUUUACUCCACAUCCUGCUUUUCAGUUUGACCAGCAUCAUUUAUUAAAGAUGUCUUUCCUCUGGUAUCUUUGUUCCCUUUAUCAAAACUCAGAUGGUGGUGGGGUGUGUGGACUUACCUGGGUCCUCAGUUCUACUGCAUUGGGUAAUGUGCCUUUUUAUGCCAGUGCCAUGCUGGUUUUACUACUAUAGCUCCAUAGUGUGACUUUAAAAUUGGGGGUGGAGAUACCCUCAGCAGCUCUUUCACUGUUCAGGAUUGAAUUAUUGAUUAGAAUUAUUUAUCAGUUAAUGGUGUUACUGAUGUGUGUGUGUAGUCUGUAUUUUCUGUAUAAAAUUGAAUCCAUAUAUAAUUUAUGUAUAAAAUCAUAUAAUUCUUGGACAUCA
Molecule: RNA transcript, 7383 nt
Organism: Mus musculus (house mouse)
Lineage: Eukaryota; Metazoa; Chordata; Mammalia; Rodentia; Muridae
Gene: Ddx51
Gene name: DEAD box helicase 51
Exons: 15
Source: RefSeq, marked validated